AGCAGCCGCGGUAAUUCCAGCUCCAAUAGCGUAUAUUAAAGUUGUUGCAGUUAAAAAGCUCGUAGUUGAAUUUCGGGAUCAAUAUAUCGGUCGUGCCUCUGGUACGUACUGGUAUCAUUGAUUUCUCCCUUCUGACGAACCAUGAUUUCAUUUAUUUGGUGUCAUGGGGAGUUAGGACUGUUACUUUGAAAAAAUUAGAGUGUUUAAAGCAGGCAUUAGCUUGAAUACAUUAGCAUGGAAUAAUGAAAUAGGACGUUUGACCCUAUUUUGUUGGUUUCUAGGAUCGACGUAAUGAUUAAUAGGGAUAGUUGGGGGCAUUAGUAUUCAAUUGUCAGAGGUGAAAUUCUUGGAUUUAUUGAAGACUAACUACUGCGAAAGCAUUUGCCAAGGAUGUUUUCAUUAAUCAAGAACGAAAGUUAGGGGAUCGAAGACGAUCAGAUACCGUCGUAGUCUUAACCAUAAACUAUGCCGACUAGGGAUCGGAUGAUGYUAAUUCUUUAAUGACUCA
RNAcentral lists this ribosomal RNA (508 nucleotides) under uncultured Glomus. RNAcentral's name for it is "SSU rRNA". It matches the Rfam family "Eukaryotic small subunit ribosomal RNA", at positions 571 to 1089 of the family's 1831-position model. Lineage: Eukaryota; Fungi; Glomeromycota; Glomeromycetes; Glomerales; Glomeraceae. The record is from RNAcentral.